UGGGGAAUCUUGCGCAAUGGGCGAAAGCCUGACGCAGCGACGCCGCGUGAGUGAUGAAGGCCUUCGGGUUGUAAAGCUCUGUGGGGAGAGAAGAAUAAGUGCGGGCUAAUACCCCGCAUGAUGACGGUAUCUCCUUAGCAAGCACCGGCUAACUCUGUGCCAGCAGCCGCGGUAAGACAGAGGGUGCAAACGUUGUUCGGAAUUACUGGGCGUAAAGCGAGUGUAGGCGGUUUGGUAAGUCGGAUGUGAAAGCCCCGGGCUCAACCCGGGAAGUGCAUUCGAUACUGCCAAGCUAGAGUAUCGGAGAGGUUGGUGGAAUUCUCGGUGUAGAGGUGAAAUUCGUAGAUAUCGAGAGGAACACCGGUGGCGAAGGCGGCCAACUGGACGAAUACUGACGCUGAGACUCGAAAGCGUGGGGAGCAAACAGGAUUAGAUACCCCUGUAGUCCCUGAGCGGGCUGGCAAGGCGCAU
Molecule: ribosomal RNA, 471 nt
Filed under: uncultured bacterium
Lineage: Bacteria
Description: bacterial SSU rRNA
Rfam family: Bacterial small subunit ribosomal RNA
Source: RNAcentral